Molecule: ribosomal RNA, 107 nt
Filed under: Fukomys damarensis (Damara mole-rat)
Lineage: Eukaryota; Metazoa; Chordata; Mammalia; Rodentia; Bathyergidae
Source: RNAcentral
GUGUACGGCCACACCACCCUGAACACACCCAAUCCUGUCUGAUCUUGGAAGCUAAGCAGGCUCAGGCCUGGCUAGUACUUGGAUGGGAGAAUAUUCCACUGUUCACA